RNAcentral lists this long non-coding RNA (543 nucleotides) under Oryctolagus cuniculus (rabbit). RNAcentral describes it as "lncRNA (ENSOCUG00000036245.1)". Lineage: Eukaryota; Metazoa; Chordata; Mammalia; Lagomorpha; Leporidae. The record is from RNAcentral.
ACCUCUGAAGCCCGUGCUGUCCUCCCACCUCACCGUCACCCCAGGCCCACACGGACUCGCUGAACACCCUCGUGGCACUGCACCAGCUCUACCAGUACACGCACAAGUACUAUGAUGAGAUCAUCAACGCCUUGGAGGAGGACCCCGCUGCCCAGAAGAUGCAGCUGGCCUUCCGCCUGCAGCAGAUUGCGGCCGCGCUCGAGAACAAGGUCACCGACCUCUGACCUCCCGCCUUCCGCCUGCCUCCUGGCGCAGGGGGCGCCGCAGGCCCCGAGCAAUAUGGCACCGGAGCCUGUACUAGCCCCCGCCCACGGAGCCAGCCCGGGGUCUCUGUGUGAAGACUGAGUGUUUCGCAAACGUGCCUUACGCCGCGCCGGGCCCCUGGGGCAGUCGGGCCUCCGCCUCCCCUCGCACCAGCAGCCGCCUCAGAUGCCCAGGGCCUGGCCUCUGGGUGGGAUCCGAGUCCCUGCAGCCCCGGGGCGAGUGCCCAGACGUGUCUGCCCACUGUCCACGGACAGCAGGAGGAGACACGGAGGACAAGCG